GUUCUUAUAAAGUAUUCGAGUCAGUGUUUGUUCACGUCAUUGCUAUUUAUUUCUAUAUUUAAAUUAGUUUAUUACAUAAAAGUAUAUUUAAAGUAAAUUCGGGUAUUAGAGUCAGUGUUGUCAGAUAUUUUUCAUCAUCUUAAGGCAGGAUGCUCAUCGUGCAAAGGAUGUAUGAAAACUUCAAUCAUCAUUAUAAUCCUGACUACAGCUACACAUGUGUUUAUUUAAAGUAGUUUGCAUUGUGUUAUUUAAAUUUUAGUAAUAUAGCUAGAGCACUUAAAUUAAUUGAAAAUAAAGUACUUAGUUAUAUAGUCAGGAUUUGUUCAUAUAAAGUAUUAAUUUUCUUUUCAAACAGUCGUACUGACUGUUCGCGUAUUAGAAUCAGUGCAUCAUUAAAGAUGAUCGAGAAAUUAAUAUUCUUCUUCUAUAGAAUAACAUUGAUAAUCAUUAUAAUUGUGCCUUACCAGUUUACAAUGAUGUAGAGCUACUUCAUUUUCAACUUACUUCGAUAUCAACUUACUUCCUUUUCAACUUUCUACGGAUCAUCCUUCUUGAAUCUGAAGUUACAUGGAGUACGAGUGUUUUGGAGCCGUCGCAGAACUUCUUAAGUAGUGAGUGAAAAAUUUUAAGUCCCUCCAGUGCCCAUCAUGCUGAGGAUGAAAGGUCCAUAUCGGCACGGGUUACUGGUUGUAAUUUUUUAAACAAAUUAUUGAUCAGCACGACCGUGAGUAAUUCC
Molecule: long non-coding RNA, 736 nt
Organism: Vespula vulgaris
Lineage: Eukaryota; Metazoa; Arthropoda; Insecta; Hymenoptera; Vespidae
Exons: 3
Source: RefSeq, a predicted model, not a curated record